ACUAAGCCAUCCUUACAAAAUGGACAAAAAGAGAAAAAGCCAGCAUGUAAAUUUGAAGAGAGUCAGGAUAUCCUAGCCAGAUGGUCAGACAACUUGUUUUAUCUCGCAAUUUUCAAAAAGAUAAACCUACUGAAACAGAGCUGCUUCAUCAUAUUUGAAAACAGUUCUAAAUCCUGGGUUCUCUGGAAGGACAUUCAAACAGGAGCCACUGGAAGUGGGGAAAUGGUCUGCACACUAUGUCAAGAGUAUUCAGAAGCUCCCAAUGAAAUGUUACACAUGAUGCAUGUGGCCAAGGAUAUCAUCAACUGUGUCAUCAUUGUACAGCUCACAUUGAUUCCAGUGUGAUUGAUUAAAGUGAAAAACACCUCUGUCGACAGCAUAUUUGUAACAACAAAGACAGAGGGGUGGUGCAAUUAAGAAA
This 421-nucleotide long non-coding RNA is filed under the name Cavia porcellus (domestic guinea pig). RNAcentral's name for it is "lncRNA (ENSCPOG00000035141.1)". The record is from RNAcentral. Lineage: Eukaryota; Metazoa; Chordata; Mammalia; Rodentia; Caviidae.